UACGUAGGGUGCAAGCGUUAAUCGGAAUUACUGGGCGUAAAGCGUGCGCAGGCGGUUCGCUAAGACCGAUGUGAAAUCCCCGGGCUUAACCUGGGAACUGCAUUGGUGACUGGCGAGCUAGAGUAUGGCAGAGGGGGGUAGAAUUCCACGUGUAGCAGUGAAAUGCGUAGAGAUGUGGAGGAAUACCGAUGGUGAAGGCAGCCCCCUGGGCCUGCACUGACGCUCAUGCACGAAAGCGUGGGGAGCAAACAGG
RNAcentral lists this ribosomal RNA (253 nucleotides) under uncultured bacterium. Its description in RNAcentral is "partial 16S ribosomal RNA". It matches the Rfam family "Bacterial small subunit ribosomal RNA", at positions 524 to 776 of the family's 1533-position model. The record is from RNAcentral.